GGGCCUGACACAGUUUCGAUUGCGGGCAGAGGGCGAUGUAAGCAUACCGAAGGCUCGGCUUCGUAAAAACGGAAUUUAAAUUUAAACGCAGAAUCAAAAGAUUCCAAAGUUGUUGCUUUCCCUGCAUUCAGGGGCGCAAUGGCUUGCGCUGCUUAACUUUAAGCAGUCCGUCCUUCGCGCAGUUCCGUCGGGCGCGCGGGGCGUUAUUCAGACGGAUAACGGCAUGAGCGCCUUUGCUGCGGCGCACACGCUGUAAUUUUGCGGCAUGCGGCCGUGAAGUCCCGUUUAUCGGGCGGCACGGUUUAAGUUUAAAGGUAAACUAAGUAUGUAGAAAGCUCGCGCGAACCCCGUAAGACCAGAGUGCAACUCUCUGCAGGUCCACCA
Molecule: transfer-messenger RNA, 384 nt
Filed under: Christensenellaceae
Lineage: Bacteria; Bacillati; Bacillota; Clostridia; Christensenellales
Also listed under: 1 other name
Description: Coproplasma excrementavium Standard tmRNA
Rfam family: transfer-messenger RNA
About the family: Bacterial tmRNA, also known as 10Sa RNA or SsrA, is named for its dual tRNA and mRNA-like properties.
Source: RNAcentral